UAGGGAAUAUUGGUUAAUGGGCGAAAGCCCGAACCAGCAACGCCGCGUGUGCGAUGAAGGCCUUCGGGUCGUAAAGCACUUUUAAAGAGGAAGAGGAAGGACGGUACUCUUUGAAUAAGCUUCGGCUAACUACGUGCCAGCAGCCGCGGUAACACGUAGGAAGCGAGCGUUAUCCGGAUUUACUGGGCGUAAAGCGCGUGUAGGCGGUCUGGUUAGUUGGAUGUGAAAGCUCCCGGCUUAACUGGGAGAGGUCGUUCAAUACUGCCAGACUAGAGAGUGGUAGAGGGAGAUGGAAUUCCGGGUGUAGUGGUGAAAUGCGUAGAUAGCCGGAGGAACAACAGUGGCGAAAGCGAUCUCCUGGACCAGUUCUGACGCUCAGACGCGAAAGCUAGGGU
Molecule: ribosomal RNA, 395 nt
Filed under: uncultured bacterium
Lineage: Bacteria
Description: bacterial SSU rRNA
Rfam family: Bacterial small subunit ribosomal RNA
Source: RNAcentral